UUGUUGUGGAGGAGCCCUGGUUGGUGCAGACGAUGCCGGCUGUGUAUGGUGGUGUCGUCGUCCUUGUGCUCUUGAAGGAGGCACUAGUAUAACUUGAAGCCCUUAGCACUCGAUGUGGUGUAGGCGUGGAGGUGCCAGGCCUGGGCUCUGUUGUGGAGCAAUGGAGCCUCAGCUGCAGCGAGGGCUCCAACGGCGAGAUGUCCAGUGACUCCGGCCUGGGAAGAAACGACGUCCACGGCGACCACGUCUGCAACGACGUCU
RNAcentral lists this long non-coding RNA (261 nucleotides) under Setaria italica (foxtail millet). Its description in RNAcentral is "long non-coding RNA (SITA_LNC001073)". The record is from RNAcentral. Lineage: Eukaryota; Viridiplantae; Streptophyta; Magnoliopsida; Poales; Poaceae.